Molecule: transfer RNA, 73 nt
Filed under: Candidatus Nanopelagicaceae bacterium
Lineage: Bacteria; Bacillati; Actinomycetota; Actinomycetes; Candidatus Nanopelagicales; Candidatus Nanopelagicaceae
Description: tRNA-OTHER
Rfam family: tRNA
About the family: Transfer RNA (tRNA) molecules are approximately 80 nucleotides in length. Their secondary structure includes four short double-helical elements and three loops (D, anti-codon, and T loops). Further hydrogen bonds mediate the characteristic L-shaped molecular structure. tRNAs have two regions of fundamental functional importance: the anti-codon, which is responsible for specific mRNA codon recognition, and the 3' end, to which the tRNAs corresponding amino acid is attached (by aminoacyl-tRNA synthetases). tRNAs cope with the degeneracy of the genetic code in two manners: having more than one tRNA (with a specific anti-codon) for a particular amino acid; and 'wobble' base-pairing, i.e. permitting non-standard base-pairing at the 3rd anti-codon position.
Source: RNAcentral
GCGGCUGUAGCUCAGCGGAUAGAGCAGCCUACUGACGAAAGGCAGGUGGUGGGUUCGACUCUCACCAGUCGCA